This 22-nucleotide ribosomal RNA is filed under the name Saprolegnia parasitica. Its description in RNAcentral is "partial 28S ribosomal RNA". The record is from RNAcentral. Lineage: Eukaryota; Oomycota; Saprolegniomycetes; Saprolegniales; Saprolegniaceae.
UUGGACCUGAUAUCAAACAAGA